RNAcentral lists this long non-coding RNA (2416 nucleotides) under Salvia miltiorrhiza (redroot sage). RNAcentral describes it as "long non-coding RNA (SMIL_LNC010502)". The record is from RNAcentral. Lineage: Eukaryota; Viridiplantae; Streptophyta; Magnoliopsida; Lamiales; Lamiaceae.
GGUGUUAGCCAUAAGCAUCCGGGUUUAGGUCUUGGUGGUCCAGCACAAAGUGCUUCAUAUGGCUACCCAGGUCCAAGCAAGAAAAUCGAUAUUCCAAAUGGAAGGGUUGGCGUGAUAAUUGGCAAAGGUGGCGAGACUAUCAAGUACCUCCAACUACAGUCAGGAGCUAAGAUUCAGGUCACCAGAGACAUGGAUGCAGAUCCAAACUCUACUUCAAGAGCAGUUGAGCUUAUGGGAACUCCGGAUCAGAUAGCCAAAGCUGAGCAAUUGAUCAAUGAUGUUCUUAACGAGGUAUUAUGCAUGUUAGCAAUACCUUCAAUACCUGUUAUUUUGUGUGUUUGUUGCCCUUCUCUAGGAUGUUUAUUUUGACUGCCACUUGUAGAUGUUAAUUUGGUUUGAUAGUCAGCUCUGUAGUUGUGGAAGUUUGAGAAAUUUCUUUGAUGAAUUCUCUGUAGUAACAGUUUGCUUUUCAAUGGGACAGGCUGAUGCAGGUGGUUCUGGCAUAGUUUCCCGACGGUUGACUGGGCAGCAAUCUGGGGCCGAUCAAUUUGUUAUGAUGAUCCCUAAUAAUAAAGUAUGCUAGAUGUUGUCUAUUGGCUCUUAUGAUUAUUUAGCUCAUUAGUUUCCUUACAAUGGAUAAAUUUCAGGUGGACUUGUUAUUGGUAAAGGAGCGAAACUAUAAAAAGUAUGCAAGCUCAAACAGGGGCCCGUAUCCAGGUAGGGUGGCCUGAAUUUUUUUACAAAAUACAUUAUGUUGAUUUUCAUGAAACUGCAGCUUACUGCAUGAAUUCAUCAUCUCAAUGACAAAGAUACUUACUCAUAUGNGAGUUCGGCUCGGGUGAUGCUCGAUAAUGUUGAAUUCGAGUUUGAGCUCGAGCUCGACUCGUUAGAUGUUCGUAUAUAUGAUGUUCAAGCUCGAAUUUGUUAUAAAUAUAAGAAAAUUUUAUUAAUUAAUGUGUUAUUCGAGCUCGAGUUCGACUCAUUUAAAGUUUGUGCAUUAACUCGAUUGAAGGCUCGACUGAAGGUUCGUGAACAGGCUUGCGAACAAUCAAAUCCGAACAUAUUCGCGAGCUCAAUGAGCCGAGCACUGUCAGGCUCGAUAAAAAUCUCGAGCUUGAAAUCAAGCUCGAGCUCGACUCGUAUAUUAUCGAAUCGAGCUCCGAACGAAUUUUUUUCGAACCGAAUCUCGAAUAGCGAUUAGCUUUGUUCAUUUACGGCCCUAGCAAACAUAGAUUGACGUUUGAAUAAAUAAGAAAAUUUAAGGGGUCAACAUGUAAAUUCGACAAAAUCUUUUUGUGUACAUUAUAUUUCCAUCGUAUUUACUCGUAGACCCCUCGUAAAAAAUCUGGAGUGGGCCAUGCCCAUAUAAAUACCUCAUCCUUAAUUCUCUCUCAUCUGCAAAAUCUAGGGUUUUUCCAUCUCCUCUUCCCGUGCGCAAUUUCCUGUAUUUUCCGGCAGAAAUGGCAGAUGAGGCGGUGUACGCUGCAGGAGGCGAAUCGAACAAGCGCAAGUACGAUGAUUCGCCGCCAGCUGUGGGGCGCAGGUCGACGGGGUUCUCGUCGCCGCCCGAUUCCGCCGCACCUCCGCCUUCGUACAACAACGUUCCGCCGCCCUUGAACGAGAUCGAGCUGGCUAAGCAGAAGGCGCAGGAGAUUGCUGCGAGGCUUCUGAACAACGCUGAUCCUUCGAAGAGAGCGAGAGUUGAGAACGGGGCUGGUGCCGGCGGUGGUUAUGAUGCUGUUGAUACAGGUUGGGGCUUCUUCUGAAAUAAGCCUAUCACUCGCAUUUUCUCUGCAGUUCACCUCUAAUUGCUCUCGUAGGUCUUUGGUAUCCGUAAUUUUGAUGAACACUCCGUUUGAUUGAGCUUAUAGUGCUUGAAACUUAUGGUGAUUACCGAGUUCCAAAAUAUUUGUUGGCAUUGUUGCACAUUUUCUUAAGUUUAUAACGGUGAUAUUUUACUUGUACUUUCUUGGUAAUUCUUGUUGCUCAAGGUUUUUAUAUUAUUAAUUGCGAAGCACUAGGCAUCUGUGUGUAUCCUUGCAACAUAUUACAAAUAUAUAGUUAUUGAUUGGGAUUUUCUGAAUGGACGGAGAAGAGGAUAACUGUGUCAUGUUCUUUGGUUUUAGGUGUUAGCCAUAAGCAUCCGGGUUUAGGUCUUGGUGGUCCAGCACAAAGUGCUUCAUAUGGCUACCCAGGUCCAAGCAAGAAAUCGAUAUUCCAAAUGGAAGGGUUGGCGUGAUAAUUGGCAAAGGUGGCGAGACUAUCAAGUACCUCCAACUACAGUCAGGAGCUAAGAUUCAGGUCACCAGAGACAUGGAUGCAGAUCCAAACUCUACUUCAAGAGCAGUUGAGCUUAUGGGAACUCCGGAUCAGAUAGCCAAAGCUGAGCAAUUGAUCAAUGAUGUUCUUAACGAGG